UACGUAGGGGGCUAGCGUUGCUCGGAAUCACUGGGCGUAAAGGGUGCGUAGGCGGGUCUUUAAGUCAGGGGUGAAAUCCUGGAGCUCAACUCCAGAACUGCCUUUGAUACUGAAGAUCUUGAGUCCGGGAGAGGUGAGUGGAACUGCGAGUGUAGAGGUGAAAUUCGUAGAUAUUCGCAAGAACACCAGUGGCGAAGGCGGCUCACUGGCCCGGUAUGACGCUGAGGCG
This 229-nucleotide ribosomal RNA is filed under the name uncultured bacterium. Its description in RNAcentral is "partial 16S ribosomal RNA". It matches the Rfam family "Bacterial small subunit ribosomal RNA", at positions 524 to 753 of the family's 1533-position model. The record is from RNAcentral.